AAGAAAAAAAUGCUGAUAGCAAAGCAAUUAUCUAACAACGGGCCCAAACUGGGCCCUGAUCAUGCAAAGAUUUACCUUCAUGCUUAAUUUGAGGUGGAUAAGAUGCUCAAUUGAAAUGGAAGAGGCAGUUCAAGGCAGCGUUUGCACCAUGCUGAGGUGUAAUGGUCAACUCUGUCCCAGUGAUCCCAUGGAGAAUUCACGCAGAGGCCAAUGAAGUGAGGAGCCAGAGGCCAUUUCUGUUGUACUCCAUAGCAAAUCUUAAGAAUGGUGAACAGUUUACCCCACCAUACUGGAAAAUAGGGGUGUGGCCAGCAGGUGGACCCUUCCUAACUGAAAGGUGGGAACGACUUAAAAAAAGCCCUACUUUUGUUUAAAGCAGAUUUUUUUUAAGUGGUUCCCACCUUCCAAAUCUAUUAUCUGCAAAGUGUCAUUUUAAAUAAUGAAGCUGCCUUUCAUUAUAGGAGUGUAAAAACUGGCUUCCACAUUCUAACGUUUGUUUUGGGGGCUCGAAUAGCUGUACACUCUUAAAAGACUUCCAGCACAAAUUUUGCUGGAACUUUUAUACACAAAAUAGCGAUACCAGCGGUAUAAAAUCCUGCAUAAAGGGUUCAGAAGGAACAUAUCUAUAAUUAUAAGCAGUGCUACUAGUCAUCACUAUAAUAUGUUUUUUCCAUACAUUGGAAAAUGUGUAUUGUAGCAGAUUUCUAUACCACAACUUCGUCUCUCUCCCCUUUUUCCUUAAACCAUAUUAUGCAGUCGUCACUUGGCAAAUGGUAUUUUUGCCAUUUUUAGUUACGAGAGCAAAAAUUAAAAGGAUAUGGCAAUGUUCAAUUAGCUGUAUGCUUGUAUAACUUUCUAAUGUCCAGGGUGAUUGUUUGGGGGGCAGGAAGGCAGGGAAAUGGCUUAAAAUGCGCCCCUCUUUGAGAUCUUACAUGCCAAGUUUCAUAUGAGAGAAAAUCUUUACA
This is a long non-coding RNA of Chelonia mydas (Green sea turtle), 965 nucleotides long. RefSeq lists it as uncharacterized. The record is from RefSeq and is a predicted model, not a curated record. Lineage: Eukaryota; Metazoa; Chordata; Testudines; Cheloniidae. The transcript has 3 exons.